GGGAUGAACGCUAGCGGCAGGCCUAACACAUGCAAGUCGAGGGGUAGAGGGAGCUUGCUCCCUUGAGACCGGCGCACGGGUGCGUAACGCGUAUGCAACCUACCUAUUGCAGGGGAAUAGCCCAGGGAAACUUGGAUUAAUGCCCCAUAGUCCAUAUUGAGAGCAUUCGAUAUAUGGUAAAGAUUUAUCGGCAAUAGAUGGGCAUGCGUCCCAUUAGCUAGUUGGUGCGGUAACGGCGCACCAAGGCUACGAUGGGUAGGGGCCCUGAGAGGGGGAUCCCCCACACUGGGACUGAGACACGGCCCAGACUCCUACGGGAGGCAGCAGUGGGGAAUAUUGGACAAUGGGCGCAAGCCUGAUCCAGCCAUGCCGCGUGAGUGAUGAAGGCCUUAGGGUUGUAAAGCUCUUUCGACGGGACGAUAAUGACGGUACCCGUAGAAGAAGCCCGGCUAACUUCGUGCCAGCAGCCGC
This 471-nucleotide ribosomal RNA is filed under the name uncultured bacterium. RNAcentral's name for it is "SSU rRNA". It matches the Rfam family "Bacterial small subunit ribosomal RNA", at positions 27 to 518 of the family's 1533-position model. The record is from RNAcentral.